UCCUUCGGGAGGGUGCCCUAGCGGCGAACGGGUGAGUAACACGUGGGCAACCUGCCCCUAGCACUGGGAUAACCCCGGGAAACCGGGGCUAAUACCGGAUACGACUCCGGAGGGCAUCCUCCGGCGUGGAAAGAUUUAUCGGCUAGGGAUGGGCCCGCGGCCUAUCAGCUUGUUGGUGGGGUAACGGCCCACCAAGGCGACGACGGGUAGCCGGCCUGAGAGGGCGACCGGCCACACUGGGACUGAGACACGGCCCAGACUCCUACGGGAGGCAGCAGUGGGGAAUAUUGCACAAUGGGCGAAAGCCUGAUGCAGCGACGCCGCGUGAGGGAUGACGGCCUUCGGGUUGUAAACCUCUUUCAGCUCCGACGAAGCGAAAGUGACGGUAGGAGCAGAAGAAGCACCGGCCAACUACGUGCCAGCAGCCGCGGUAAUACGUAGGGUGCAAGCGUUGUCCGGAAUUAUUGGGCGUAAAGAGCUCGUAGGCGGCUUGUCGCGUCGGCUGUGAAAACCUGGGGCUCAACCCCGGGCCUGCAGCCGAUACGGGCAAGCUAGAAUUCGGUAGGGGAGACUGGAAUUCCUGGUGUAGCGGUGAAAUGCGCAGAUAUCAGGAGGAACACCGGUGGCGAAGGCGGGUCUCUGGGCCGAUAUUGACGCUGAGGAGCGAAAGCGUGGGGAGCGAACAGGAUUAGAUACCCUGGUAGUCCACGCCGUAAACGUUGGGAACUAGGUGUGGGCCACAUUCCACGUGGUCUGUGCCGCAGCUAACGCAUUAAGUU
RNAcentral lists this ribosomal RNA (779 nucleotides) under uncultured Sporichthyaceae bacterium. Its description in RNAcentral is "bacterial SSU rRNA". It matches the Rfam family "Bacterial small subunit ribosomal RNA", at positions 76 to 866 of the family's 1533-position model. The record is from RNAcentral. Lineage: Bacteria; Bacillati; Actinomycetota; Actinomycetes; Sporichthyales; Sporichthyaceae.